Molecule: unclassified non-coding RNA, 1171 nt
Filed under: Hevea brasiliensis (rubber tree)
Lineage: Eukaryota; Viridiplantae; Streptophyta; Magnoliopsida; Malpighiales; Euphorbiaceae
Source: RNAcentral
GAAUACCAUAAUUGUCGUAAGACUUGAUAUAGUGAAAUUAAUGAAUUGAUCCUUGUGUUAUCACAAUUAUGGUAUUUCAUUGACUGAGAUGGCAUCAGUCUAGUAUGUAGAGGAGAAAAGAUAAACAGGGGAGCUGGGAGAGACGCAAAAGCAGAAUAUUUACGUCGAUAAGUUACCGAAUCACUUUUUUCAAGGGAUCAAUCUCUACCCCAUAGCUUUCUUCUGCGCAAUGCGAUAAAUGAACAGAAUAAACCCUCUUUAUGAACCUGCAAGUUGACGAAUAUACUUCAGGGGCCGACUACUACAAUCAGCUGAGCAUAGUUGGAUGCCCUGUCUGUAUUAUCCUCUUGAUCAUGUCCAUCCCAAACGCAGAAUCCGAUGAACUCGGGAUGUGAAUUUCAUAAGGAAAAUAGAUGACACUCUCAGUUAUAGGGGGCACAUGAUCUUUUUUCUCAUUCACAAAUUUUAUUAUUUGGAACAAAACCUCGCGAAGAGAUACUUCAAGUGAUGCUCUGCGAACACUCCUCUCCUCAGAUGCACUCUCUCCUGGAUCAACCACUAUUUUAGAAUGAUGAGACUUUCCAGAGUGUGCUUUUAGUUUUGGGUGUUGAGUCACAUUCAAAUUGAUAUGCCAUUGUUCCCAAUCUAGUCGUUCAAUUUUGUUAGUGAACCAUGAUGGAUGCUUGCUUUUCACUUCAUAAAAGGACAAACAUAUCUCGCUUUUCUUAUUCGGGUGUUUCUCAACCCAACUUACAAAUUGCUCAAUCUUCUCAUCUAUUUUCUUUUCAACUUCGAUAUCCCCACAUUGCACAUAUGUAAUAUCAAAGAGCUCCAAAUCAAUGUCUUUAGGCCGGACAAGACCUAAAGCCCGAUGAAAGACAAUUGUAUGUAAUAUGCAGCGUAGAACUUCCCGUAUCUCAAAGUGCUCCACCUCCAGUUCUUUGAGUUGGCAAACUUCGCAAUUCAUGAUGAUUUUUGGUGAGAAAAUUGAGCAAAGACUGACGUAGAUCAAUCUAAAAUUGAAAAUUGGAAAGCUAGGAGAUGUUUUGGAAGUUGGAUUAAUGAAAGGUGGGCAACGAACGAUGGGUGAAGUAAGGUAAAGUCGACGGUGGAGCUUCGCGUAUGGUAGUGAUCUAUUCCUGAUAGGAGUACAGUGGUAGUAGUAGCAAAU